GAUGAAGAACGUAGCGAAAUGCGAUAAGUAGUGUGAAUUGCAGAACUCAGUGAAUCAUCGAAUCUUUGAACGCACAUUGCGCCCCUUGGUAUUCCAUGGGGCAUGCCUGUUCGAGCGUCAUUUGUACCUUCAAGCUUUGCUUGGUGUUGGGUGUUUGUCUCGCCUUUGCGUGUAGACUCGCCUUAAAAUAAUUGGCAGCCGGCGUAUUGAUUUCGGAGCGCAGUACAUCUCGCGCUUUGCACUCAUAACGACAGCGUCCAAAAGUACAUUUUACACUCUUGACCUCGGAUCAGGUAGGGAUACCCGCUGAACUUAAGCAUAUCAAUAAGCGGAGGA
This 336-nucleotide unclassified non-coding RNA is filed under the name soil metagenome. RNAcentral describes it as "partial contains 5.8S ribosomal RNA, internal transcribed spacer 2, and large subunit ribosomal RNA". The stretch from base 1 to 120 matches the Rfam family "5.8S ribosomal RNA", at positions 35 to 154 of the family's 154-position model. The record is from RNAcentral.